GGUUCAGAAUUGAACGCUAGCGGGAUGCUUUACACAUGCAAUUCGAACGGCAGCACGAGGAAAGUUUAUUUCUUUGGUGGCGAGUGGCGGACGGGUGAGUAAUGUAUCGGAACGUGCCCAGUAGUGGGGGAUAAAUACGCGAAAGCGUAGCUAAUACCGCAUAUUUCUCUUCGGAGGAAAGGGGGGGAUCAUUUGACCUCUCGCUAUUGGAGCGGCCGAUAUCAGAUUAGUUAGUUGGUGGGGUAACGGCCUACCAAGGCAGUGAUCUGUAGCUGGUUUGAGAGGACGACCAGCCACACUGGGACUGAGACACGGCCCAGACUCCUACGGGAGGCAGCAGUGGGGAAUUUUCGACAAUGGGGGAAACCCUGAUCGAGCCAUCCCGCGUGUGGGACGAAGGCCUUCGGGUUGUAAACCACUUUUCUUAGCGAAGAAAAGCCUUAGGCUAAUACCUUAAGACGCUGACGGUAGCUAAGGAAUAAGCAUCGGCUAACUACGUGCCAGCAGCCGCGGUAAUACGUAGGAUGCAAGCGUUAAUCGGAAUUACUGGGCGUAAAGGGUGCGCAGGCGGCUUGGAAAGAACGGUGUGAAAUCCCGGGGCUCAACCCCGGAACUGCACUAUUAACUAUCAAGCUAGAGUAUGUCAGAGGGGGGUGGAAUUCCGCGUGUAGCAGUGAAAUGCGUAGAUAUGCGGAGGAACACCAAUGGCGAAGGCAGCCCCCUGGGAUAAUACUGACGCUCAGGCACGAAAGCGUGGGUAGCAAACAGGAUUAGAUACCCUGGUAGUCCACGCCCUAAACGAUGUCAACUAGCUGUUGGGCCGGUUACGGCUUAGUAGCGCAGCUAACGCG
RNAcentral lists this ribosomal RNA (851 nucleotides) under uncultured bacterium. RNAcentral's name for it is "bacterial SSU rRNA". It matches the Rfam family "Bacterial small subunit ribosomal RNA", at positions 21 to 859 of the family's 1533-position model. The record is from RNAcentral.